Molecule: ribosomal RNA, 490 nt
Filed under: uncultured bacterium
Lineage: Bacteria
Description: partial 16S ribosomal RNA
Rfam family: Bacterial small subunit ribosomal RNA
Source: RNAcentral
GUGAACGCUGGCGGUAGGCCUAACACCUGCAAGUCGCACGGCAGCACAGUAAGAGCUUGCUCUUACGGGUGGCGAGUGGCGGACGGGUGAGGAAUACAUCGGAAUCUACUUUUUCGUGGGGGAUAACGUAGGGAAACUUACGCUAAUACCGCAUACGACCUACGGGUGAAAGCAGGGGAUCUUCGGACCUUGCGCGAUUGAAUGAGCCGAUGUCGGAUUAGCUAGUUGGCGGGGUAAAGGCCCACCAAGGCGACGAUCCGUAGCUGGUCUGAGAGGAUGAUCAGCCACACUGGAACUGAGACACGGUCCAGACUCCUACGGGAGGCAGCAGUGGGGAAUAUUGGACAAUGGGCGCAAGCCUGAUCCAGCCAUACCGCGUGGGUGAAGAAGGCCUUCGGGUUGUAAAGCCCUUUUGUUGGGAAAGAAAAGCAGCAGGUUAAUACCCCGCUGUUCUGACGGUACCCAAAGAAUAAGCACCGGCUAACUUCGU